UACGCAGGGGGCUAGCGUUGCUCGGAAUCACUGGGCGUAAAGCGCACGUAGGCGGGUUGCUAAGUCAGGGGUGAAAUCCUGGAGCUCAACUCCAGAACUGCCUUUGAUACUGGCGGCCUUGAGUCCGGGAGAGGUGAGUGGAACUGCGAGUGUAGAGGUGAAAUUCGUAGAUAUUCGCAAGAACACCAGUGGCGAAGGCGGCUCACUGGCCCGGUACUGACGCUGAGGUGCGAAAGCGUGGGGAGCAAACAGG
RNAcentral lists this ribosomal RNA (253 nucleotides) under uncultured bacterium. RNAcentral's name for it is "partial 16S ribosomal RNA". It matches the Rfam family "Bacterial small subunit ribosomal RNA", at positions 524 to 776 of the family's 1533-position model. The record is from RNAcentral.